GCCUAAUUAUUAGAUACACCGAGAGUACUAAAACAUAGUACUCCCUCUCUCCUUAUUAUAAUAUAAAGGAUAGAUCACACAUAAUUAUAAGAGAUAGUGUAUAUGCACCGGGUGCACCGAAUAAUUUCUCCCAAUUCAAAGUACUGUCAUACACUUUUCAGAAUGGAGGAACAAUACACUGUCCCGAAUGGAGGAACUAUAGCCAUUCUUAUCAUCGUAGAACUUUGACCAAAGCAUAACACCUCCGUACUUAGGUGACUUCUUUAUUUCAG
This 272-nucleotide unclassified non-coding RNA is filed under the name Hevea brasiliensis (rubber tree). Lineage: Eukaryota; Viridiplantae; Streptophyta; Magnoliopsida; Malpighiales; Euphorbiaceae. The record is from RNAcentral.